AUUGUUUAUUUAUGUAUUGUUAAAGCAUUUAAGAACCUAGUAAGAGGGACUGAAGAUUGAUAUAUUGUAGUUUGAUAAGUACUGUAGAGGAAGAUUAUUAAUUAUUUAAAAGUAAAAGUUUUAAUUUGUACCUUUUGCAUCAUGGCUUAGCUAGAUUUAGGCUUUGAAUAUAAGUUUCUCGAAAUCUAAUGAGCUAUCUUUUGUCUAUUAUGUUAGUAAGAUUAAGAGUAGUUGUGGAAUAAAUUUUUUAAAAGAUAAAGAUAGAAAUGAAAUUUUAUUCGUGUUAGAUGAUAGCUAGUUCUCCUGAAAGGUAUAGAAGUGCUCUGAAUUAGAUUUUAGGUAAUUUAUUUAAUUAAAGUAAUUAAUUUUUAAUUUAGGAAAAUUAUUAAGGAUAAGCUUAUUAAUUUGGUUUUAAUUUAAGCGUUUUAUUUAGUGUUAAAUUUAGGCUUGAAGGUAGCUAUAAUAGGGGAUUAUGUUAUAAUUUCAUUUUGUAUAAAAAAUAUAAUGGAUCUGCUUUUUGUUUAAUGGAGUUAACUUAUAAAUAAGUUAUAUAAGUUGUAAAGAUGCUAAGAUGAGUAUUGAUAGGAUAUGAUUUAUAACUAAUAGAUAUUUUAAUUCUUUGUAUAAGAUUUGUAUAAUUAAAACCGUGGAAAGGAAUUCGGCAAAAGGAUAUUCUGCCUGUUUAUCAAAACAUGUCUCCUUGAUGAAAAAAAAUGAGGAGUCGGGCCUGCCCGGUGAUAUGAUUUUAACGGCCGCGGUACUUUGACCGUGCAAAGGUAGCAUAAUCAUUUGCCUUAUAAUUGAAGGCUGGAAUGAAUGGUUUGACAAGAAUAUGACUGUCUCUUCAUGGUUUUAUAGAAUUUAAUUUGUAGGUGAAGAAGCCUAGAUAUAAUUGAAGGACGAGAAGACCCUAUCGAGCUUUAAAAGAAUUAGUAAAUGUAAAAUAAUGUUUAUUAAAAUAUUAAUUACUUGAAAUUUUGGUUGGGGCGACAAAGGAACCAUAGGAGCUUCCUUUAUUAAUAAUUAUGAAUUUUCGGAUAUUGAUCCAAAGGUUAUUUUGAUUAAAGGAAUUAGUUACCGUAGGGAUAACAGCAUAAUCUUUUUUAAGAGUUCUUAUCGAAAAAAGGGUUUGUGACCUCGAUGUUGGACCAGAAUGUCCUGAAGAUGCAGCAGUCUUUAAGGGUUGGUCUGUUCGACCAUUAAAAUUCUACGUGAUCUGAGUUCAGACCGGCGUGAGCCAGGUCAGUUUCUAUCCUCAAUUUUACAUAUAAAUUUAGUACGAAAGGACCAGUUUUAUUGCAAUAUAAUGUAAUAAGUGAAGAAAUAUAAUUAAUGAUUUAGAA
RNAcentral lists this ribosomal RNA (1343 nucleotides) under Amoria hunteri. RNAcentral's name for it is "16S ribosomal RNA". The stretch from base 615 to 1343 matches the Rfam family "Archaeal large subunit ribosomal RNA", at positions 1423 to 2870 of the family's 2987-position model. The record is from RNAcentral. Lineage: Eukaryota; Metazoa; Mollusca; Gastropoda; Neogastropoda; Volutidae.